GACGAACGCUGGCGGCGUGCUUAACACAUGCAAGUCGAACGCUGAAGCUCAGCUUGCUGGGUGGAUGAGUGGCGAACGGGUGAGUAACACGUGAGUAACCUGCCCUCUUCUUUGGGAUAACGCCCGGAAACGGGUGCUAUUACUGGAUAUUCACUGAUUCUCGCAUGGGGGUUGGUGGAAAGGUUUUUUCUGGUGGGGGAUGGGCUCGCGGCCUAUCAGCUUGUUGGUGGGGUGAUGGCCUACCAAGGCUUUGACGGGUAGCCGGCCUGAGAGGGUGACCGGUCACAUUGGGACUGAGAUACGGCCCAGACUCCUACGGGAGGCAGCAGUGGGGAAUAUUGCACAAUGGGCGAAAGCCUGAUGCAGCGACGCCGCGUGAGGGAUGGAGGCCUUCGGGUUGUAAACCUCUUUCGCUCAUGGUCAAGCCGCAGCUUUGGGUUGUGGUGAGGGUAGUGGGUAAAGAAGCGCCGGCUAACUACGUG
This 482-nucleotide ribosomal RNA is filed under the name uncultured bacterium. Its description in RNAcentral is "partial 16S ribosomal RNA". It matches the Rfam family "Bacterial small subunit ribosomal RNA", at positions 28 to 507 of the family's 1533-position model. The record is from RNAcentral.